CCUACGGGGGGCAGCAGUGAGGAAUAUUGGUCAAUGGACGCAAGUCUGAACCAGCCAUGCCGCGUGCAGGAAGACGGCUCUAUGAAUUGUAAACUGCUUUUGUACGGGGGUAAAUCCCGAGACGUGUAUCGGGUUGAAAUUAUCGUACGAAUAAGGAUCGGCUAACUCCGUUCCAGCAGACGCGGUAAUACAGAGGAUUCAAGGGUUAUGCGGAUUUAUUGGGGUUGAGGGGGGCGUAGGGGGAAGAUCAAGUAGGCGGUAAAAAUUCGGGGCUCAACCCCGUCGUGCCGUGGAAACUGAUGUUCUUGAGUGGGCUAGAAGUAUGCGGAAUGCGUGGUGUAGCGGUGAAAUGCAUAGAUA
This 360-nucleotide ribosomal RNA is filed under the name uncultured bacterium. RNAcentral describes it as "partial 16S ribosomal RNA". It matches the Rfam family "Bacterial small subunit ribosomal RNA", at positions 338 to 696 of the family's 1533-position model. The record is from RNAcentral.